Molecule: long non-coding RNA, 1676 nt
Organism: Etheostoma spectabile (orangethroat darter)
Lineage: Eukaryota; Metazoa; Chordata; Actinopteri; Perciformes; Percidae
Exons: 2
Source: RefSeq, a predicted model, not a curated record
UGUAAGUAAUUAACAUCAAUUGGAAUUUAAAAUGAAUUGGUGUUUUAUUUUGGAACAAAAACCGGGACUGUACUUUUUAUUCCACUCGACGCUUGAGUUGAGGAAGUCCGAACAACAUGAACCGGGAAUAAGUCAAACAUUUCAAAAUGAAACUACUAUGUUUACCUUAACAAGAACUCCUCUAAAAUCAACUAAUAAUCAAAUGUCGGGGUCGUGAAACUCUACGUUAAAUGGCAGCAGCAGGCUGGAGCUAACCGUCCUCGGUUUAGCUCGCAUUGCCGCUGAUGAUACCAGCUAACUGUUCAACUUCAACAGCGACGUCCCGUUCGGGAUGUGUGCGUAUAUCACACACCGUUUACCCGGAGACACACACCGGCAUGUCCGCGCGGACCUUCUCGCCAACAGACCUGAGCCCUGACGGUGGAAGAUAACCAGCGGGAAGGCACAUUUUUAUCCGUCUAUUCAGUGAUAAUUUCGCCUAUAAACCGGGUUCGGUAGCCUGCUGAUAGCUGUCAGUCACCAAAGCCACCGACAAGUCUCCGUGUCUGCACUCGCUACCACUUCAUUAAAGAGGCUCAGCCACGGGGGGAGAACCGGCACGAACCUAGUACCUGUUUCUGAUGGUUGGGGGGGAACCAGAGCACCUGGAGGAAACCCACACAAACAGGGGGAGAACAUCCAAACUCCACACAGAAAGGCCCAGGACCUUCUCGCUAACCACUGGACCGCCAUGUUGCACUCAGUCAUUAUAUCCACAUUCAAAAUCUAAUCAGAUUGACUUGUCACAUUCACAAUCAUACACAGUACAAUGUGCACUCAAAUUCAUUGUUUAUCUGUUCGUCCCCCUAAAAACAAUCAAUAAUCAAUCAAAUCCAUAAAAAUAGUAACAUAUACAAGAGGAGUAAAUGAGGUGGUGGGUGGGCGGUGGGCCCAGUGGUCACAGAGCAGACGGACAGCCUGAGGGAGGAGGGAGAGUCCCAGUGGUCGGGGGUGCUCUCUCCAGGCCGCCACUGUUAAAAUCCCCGGCUACGAGGACGGGGUUUAAAUCUGGAUCUGAUCUAGUCCAGCUUGUUACUCAUGAUCGAUACUCGUGAUUUUUAUCAAAAAUAUCACAUAUAUAAAUAUUUUGUGAAAGCACCCCAACAAUAUUUUCGCAAUAUCGAUAGAGGUAUUUGGUCAAGGAUAUUGUGAUAUUUGAUAUUUAGAUUUUUUUCCCAUAUUGCACUGCACUGAUUUCAUUUUCAUCUAAAAUAAAGUGGCUGGAUUGAUUGACAGGAGGAACAACAGCUAAUUGUAUUUUGUUAUUAUUUUUUGGAGAAAAAAAGACAGAAAUCAAAGAAGCUAAAUUGGUAGCACUGAAAUAAUUAGUCAAAGUUGAUUGAUGAUUGGACAACAUGGAUGCAAAAAAUGAGAAAAAUAUGCAAUAACGUUGAAUAUUGUGAUAACUAUAUCACUUGCGAUAAGUAAACAGAAGUGUACUCAGGUCGGCUGCUUUCAGUGUUCUGCUGAAAUAGAACAAAUGCUUGUUGAAUUUAAAACAAAUGAAAGGAAAUCAUUUCCAACACUCUUUUAUUUAACAAAUUGAACACUGAAUUGAAUAUUAAAGGUACCACUAAAAUAGAAUAACAGUUACAUUAUAAAGUGCAGUUUUCUACUGAUAUUUCCUUUCAACUAAC